AAUUAAGCUUCUAGUCAGGAACUGACUGCCUGGAACCUCUUGCCUGAUUACUUACCUGGCAUUGCUCUUGAGUACUCAUCUUCAACAUCUUAUGCUUCUAGAGAAGAUACCACAUCUGCUUGAGGAACAGAUAGGGCAAGUGAGAAGGAUACAAGGAAACAUAUGGAGACAAGCGUAACAGAACACGUGCCGAUACAUCCACUAC
Molecule: long non-coding RNA, 205 nt
Filed under: Malus domestica (apple)
Lineage: Eukaryota; Viridiplantae; Streptophyta; Magnoliopsida; Rosales; Rosaceae
Description: long non-coding RNA (MDOM_LNC000676)
Source: RNAcentral